This 243-nucleotide ribosomal RNA is filed under the name Bacteroides acidifaciens. RNAcentral describes it as "partial 23S ribosomal RNA". It matches the Rfam family "Bacterial large subunit ribosomal RNA", at positions 2665 to 2925 of the family's 2925-position model. Lineage: Bacteria; Pseudomonadati; Bacteroidota; Bacteroidia; Bacteroidales; Bacteroidaceae. The record is from RNAcentral.
CGUGGCUCUGACACUAGUACGAGAGGACCGUGUUGGACCGACCUCUGGUUUACCAGUUGUGCCGCCAGGUGCAUCGCUGGGUAUCUAAGUCGGGAUUGGAUAAGUGCUGAAAGCAUCUAAGUACGAAGCCAGCCACAAGAUUAGAUUUCUUAGGGUCGUCAAAGACGAUGACGUUGAUAGGAUGCAGGUGUACAGGUGGUAACAUCAUAGCCGAGCAUUACUAAUUGCCCGUUCACUUUCUUU